Prevotella intermedia 17 is the source of this 2910-nucleotide non-coding RNA. The record is from Rfam. NCBI's taxonomy places the organism in Bacteria, Pseudomonadati, Bacteroidota, Bacteroidia, Bacteroidales, Prevotellaceae.
AUAGAAAGUAACUAAGGGCGUAUGGCGGAUGCCUAGGCUCACGGAGGCGAUGAAGGACGUGAUAAGCUGCGAUAAGCUCCGGGUAGGUGCAAAUGACCUUUGAUCCGGGGAUUUCCGAAUGGGACAACCCAGCACUCUGAAGGAGUGCUAUCCUGAUUUUCGUUCAGGAGGCUAACGCAGGGAACUGAAACAUCUUAGUACCUGCAGGAAAAGAAAAUAACUUAAUGAUUCCCCCAGUAGUGGCGAGCGAACGGGGAACAGCCCAAACCCACGACGUAGCAAUGCGCCGUGGGGGUUGUAGGACCACGUUGUCGUACUCUGAUUGUGAGGAGAACGUUCUGGAAAGGACGACCGUAGCGGGUGACAGUCCCGUAUCCGAAGCAUGACGAGGCGUAGUGUCAUCCUGAGUAGCGCGGAACACGAGUAAUUCUGCGUGAAUCUGCCGGGCCCAUCCGGUAAGGCUAAAUACUCCCGUGAGACCGAUAGUGAAGUUAGUACCGUGAGGGAAAGGUGAAAAGCACUCCUAUUAGGAGAGUGAAAUAGUUCCUGAAACCAUACGCCUACAAGCGGUCGGAGCAUAUUUUUUUAUGUGACGGCGUGCCUUUUGCAUAAUGAACCUACGAGUUACCAUGCCCAGCGAGGUUAAGGGGUUCAGCCCCGUAUCCGCAGUGAAAGCGAGCCUGAACAGGGCGUUCAGUUGGGUGGGGUAGACGCGAAACCAAGUGAUCUACACUUGACCAGGUUGAAGUUCCGGUAACACGGAAUGGAGGACCGCACGGAUAAGCGUUGAAAAGCUUCCCGAUGAGUUGAGUGUAGGAGUGAAAGGCCAAUCAAACUUGGAGAUAGCUCGUACUCCCCGAAAGGCAUUUAGGUGCCGCGUGCGAUGUUCUCCGUGAGAGGUAGAGCGACCGAUAGGUCAAGAGGGCUUCACCGCCUAUCGAGACCUGACGAACUCCGAAUGCUCACGGAUGGUAGUCGUGCAGUAAGGGGGCGGGUGCUAAGGUCCGUCCCCGAGAGGAGAAGAAUCCUGACCGUCGUCUAAGGUCCCCAAAUUCUGUCUAAGUUAGUCUAACGAAGUCUGGUCCCGGUGACAGCUAGGAUGUUGGCUUGGAAGCAGCCAUUCAUUCAAAGAGUGCGUAACAGCUCACUAGUCGAGGGUCCGGGCGUGGAUAAUAAUCGGGUAUGAAGUCAGAUACCGAAGGCGCGGGAUAGCAAUGUAUAUUAAAAGUAUCGGUAGGGGAGCAUUCCAUAUGCGUUGAAUGGUGAUGGUGAUUGAUCCUGGAGCGUAUGGAAAAGCAAAUGUAGGUAUAAGUAACGAUAAAGGGGGUAAGAUUCCCCCUCGCCGUAAGACUAAGGUUUCCCGGGCGAUGCCAAUCAUCCCGGGGUUAGUCGGGUCCUAAGUCUCAGCCGAACGGCGAUGGCGAUGGCAGACACGGUCAAUAUUCCGUGACUUGCCCAUUCAGCGAUGUGGAGACGGAGCAGUGACACUGUCGCGCCCUUACGGAUAUGGGCGUUGAAGGCUUUAGGCAAUGAUGGGUGCAGGCAAAUCCACACCCUGAGCUGAUGGUCGAUAGUACGGUUUUCCCCUCGGGGCGAACCGAUAGCACAGGUAAUCAUACUUCCAAGAAAAUCCGCUAAGCUCAAUGUUUGGGCAACCCGUACCGCAAACGGACACACGUAGUCGGGUAGAACAUACUAAGGCGUUGAGAGAUUCAUGGUUAAGGAACUAGGCAAACUGACCCCGUAACUUCGGGAUAAGGGGUCCUCGUUUUUUACGAGGCGCAGAGAAUAGGUCCAGGCAACUGUUUAACAAAAACACAGGGCUGUGCUAACUCGAGAGAUGAUGUAUACAGCCUGACACCUGCCCGGUGCUGGAAGGUUAAGAGGAGAGCUCAGACUUUUGUCGAAGGCUUGAAUUGAAGCCCCAGUAAACGGCGGCCGUAACUAUAACGGUCCUAAGGUAGCGAAAUUCCUUGUCGGGUAAGUUCCGACCUGCACGAAUGGUGUAAUGAUCCGGACGCUGUCUCAAUCAUGAUCUCAGUGAAAUUGUAGUAUCGGUGAAGAUGCCGAUUACCCGCGAUGGGACGAAAAGACCCCGUGAACCUUUACUACAGCUUAGCAUUGACCUUGGUCAUCCGAUGUGUAGGAUAGGCCGGAGGCUUUGAGGCGCGCACGCCAGUGUGCGUGGAGCCAUCCUUGAAAUACGGCCCUUUGGCUGUCUGAGGUCUAACGCGCUUGUUGCGCGGACAUUGCUUGGUGGGUAGUUUGACUGGGGUGGUCGCCUCCAAAAGCGUAACGGAGGCUUCCAAAGGUGCCCUCGGGUCGAUUGGUAACCGACCUCACAGAGUGUAAUGGCAUAAGGGCGCUUGACUGGGAGGCAGACAUGCCGAGCAGGCAGGAAACUGGGGCAUAGUGAUCCGGUGCAAGUGUAUGGAAACUGCAUCGCUCAAAGGAUAAAAGGUACUCCGGGGAUAACAGGCUGAUCCCCCCCAAGAGCUCAUAUCGACGGGGUGGUUUGGCACCUCGAUGUCGGCUCGUCACAUCCUGGGGCUGGAGAAGGUCCCAAGGGUUGGGCUGUUCGCCCAUUAAAGUGGCACGCGAGCUGGGUUCAGAACGUCGUGAGACAGUUCGGUCUCUAUCUAUCGUGGGCGUUGGAGUUUUGCGUGGUUCCGCCACUAGUACGAGAGGACCGUGGUGGACAGACCUCCGGUUUGCCAGUUGUGCCGCCAGGUGCACCGCUGGGUAUCUGAGUCUGGUAUGGAUAAGCGCUGAAAGCAUCUAAGUGCGAAGCCUUCCGCAAGAUUAGAACUCCUCAUUAGGGUCGUCACAGACGAUGACGUUGAUAGGGUGCAGGUGUAAAGACAGCGAUGUCAAAGCCGAGCACUACUAAUUGCCCGAAGCUUUCAUUCC